GAUGAAGAACGCAGUGAAACGCGAUAAGUAAUGUGAAUUGCAGAAUUUAGUGAAUCAUCGAACUUUUGAACGCACAUUGCGCCCGGCGGCACUCCGCCGGGCAUGCCUGUCCGAGCGUCAUUAUACUGCCCUCGACUCUCCGAGUCGGUGUUGGGAGCCUCUGCGCCUGUGCGCAGCUCCCCAAGUCCACUGGCGUCGCGCCACGGUGCCCCUGCGUAGUAAUUUCACCUCGCUUGGGACCCUGGGUGCCGGCUGCCUUCUCUCUCGCAGCAGGCUCUUUCGAGUCGGCUCCAGCACAGUUGACCUCGGAUCAGGUAGGGUUACCCGCUGAACUUAAGCAUAUCAAUAAGCGGAGGA
RNAcentral lists this unclassified non-coding RNA (357 nucleotides) under soil metagenome. Its description in RNAcentral is "partial contains 5.8S ribosomal RNA, internal transcribed spacer 2, and large subunit ribosomal RNA". The stretch from base 1 to 120 matches the Rfam family "5.8S ribosomal RNA", at positions 35 to 154 of the family's 154-position model. The record is from RNAcentral.